Molecule: ribosomal RNA, 456 nt
Filed under: uncultured bacterium
Lineage: Bacteria
Description: bacterial SSU rRNA
Rfam family: Bacterial small subunit ribosomal RNA
Source: RNAcentral
UACGGAAGGCAGCAGUGGGGAAUAUUGCACAAUGGGCGCAAGCCUGAUGCAGCCAUGCCGCGUGUAUGAAAAAGGCCUUCGGGUUGUAAAGUACUUUCAGUCGUGAGGAAGGUGUUAAGGUUAAUAACCUUAGCAAUUGACGUUAGCGACAGAAGAAGCACCGGCUAACUCCGUGCCAGCAGCCGCGGUAAUACGGAGGGUGCGAGCGUUAAUCGGAAUUACUGGGCGUAAAGGGCACGCAGGCGGUUAAUUAAGUUGGAUGUGAAAUCCCCGGGCUUAACCUGGGAAUGGCAUUCAAGACUGGUUAGCUAGAGUCUUGUAGAGGGGGUAGAAUUCCAUGUGUAGCGGUGAAAUGCGUAGAGAUGUGGAGGAAUACCGGUGGCGAAGGCGGCCCCUGGGACAAAGACUGACGCUCGAUGUGCGAAAGCGUGGGGAGCAAACGAGGGAUUAGAUACC